RNAcentral lists this ribosomal RNA (487 nucleotides) under Dallocardia senticosa. RNAcentral describes it as "partial 16S ribosomal RNA". It matches the Rfam family "Bacterial large subunit ribosomal RNA", at positions 1808 to 2610 of the family's 2925-position model. The record is from RNAcentral. Lineage: Eukaryota; Metazoa; Mollusca; Bivalvia; Cardiida; Cardiidae.
CAAAAACAUCUCCCCCAGUAUUAUUUAGGAUUGGGGGUAGGCCCUGCCCGGUGAUUUAUUUUUUAACGGCGGUGUUAAGCCUUAAAGUAGCGUAGUCAUUCGUCCUUUAAUUGAGGUCUAGUAUGAAUGGGUUGACGUGGAUAGGCUGUCUCGAAGAGAGUUUCGUAAAUUUUCUUUUUAGUGAAAAGUCUGAGAUUUAUUUAAAAGACGAGAAGACCCCGUCGAGCUUGAUUAACUUAGCAAGGGGUUGUUAUGUGAAGGUUUGUUGGGGCAAUAAGGGAGAAAGAAAACCUCCCUUUUCUUAUGUGGGGAUCCCCUUUUUGGGAAAAAAGAAAAAGCUACCGCGGGGAUAACAGCGCAAGACUGCCUGAUAGGUCAUAUUGAAGGCUGUAUUUGCGACCUCGAUGUUGGAUUAGGGUAUACAACCAGGCGUAGAAGCUUGGUGAGGUGGGACUGUUCGUCCUUUAAAUCCCUACAUGAUCUGAGU